AACGAACGCUGGCGGCAGGCCUAACACAUGCAAGUCGAACGCUGUAGCAAUACAGAGUGGCAGACGGGUGAGUAACGCGUGGGAAUCUUCCUAUCGGUACGGAAUAGCUCAGGGAAACUUGGGGUAAUACCGCAUACGCCCUUCGGGGGAAAGAUUUAUCGCCGAUAGAUGAGCCCGCGUCUGAUUAGCUAGUUGGUGAGGUAACGGCUCACCAAGGCGACGAUCAGUAGCUGGUCUGAGAGGAUGACCAGCCACACUGGGACUGAGACACGGCCCAGACUCCUACGGGAGGCAGCAGUGGGGAAUAUUGGACAAUGGGGGCAACCCUGAUCCAGCCAUGCCGCGUGAGUGACGGAGGUCUUCGGAUUGUAAAGCUCUUUUGGCGGGGACGAUAAUGACGGUACCCGCAGAAUAAGCCCCGGCUAACUUCAUGCCAGCAGCCGCCGUAA
RNAcentral lists this ribosomal RNA (449 nucleotides) under uncultured bacterium. Its description in RNAcentral is "partial 16S ribosomal RNA". It matches the Rfam family "Bacterial small subunit ribosomal RNA", at positions 29 to 523 of the family's 1533-position model. The record is from RNAcentral.